This 452-nucleotide ribosomal RNA is filed under the name Ceraesignum maximum. RNAcentral's name for it is "partial 12S ribosomal RNA". It matches the Rfam family "Microsporidia small subunit ribosomal RNA", at positions 752 to 1302 of the family's 1311-position model. The record is from RNAcentral. Lineage: Eukaryota; Metazoa; Mollusca; Gastropoda; Littorinimorpha; Vermetidae.
CCUAGGGUGUAAAUUGAUCUAGCGCCAGGGUACUACGAGCAUAAAAGUGCUUAAAAUCCAAAGAGCUUGGCGGUGCUACAGACUGGUUAGGGGAACCUGCCUCGUAAUCGACGGUCCACGAGACACCUGGCCUUUUUUUGCAAAACAGUUUGUAUACCGUCGUCGUCAGCCCGCCCUUAAGGGUGAUGAACAAUUGAGUGGGCAGGAGAAAGAGAAGUUUUUGACGUCAGAUCAAGGUGCAGCUUAUGGAAAGAGUGAGGGUGGGUUACAAUUGAGAGUGAUAUUCAAGAACGGAAGUGUUUCUGAAAAAGGACAUUGAAGGUGGACUUAAAAGUAAUAGGAAUUAAUAUAGGUAGUAUGAACGAAGCUCUGAAGCGUGCACAUAUCGCCCGUCGCUCUCGCCGAAAGGUGAGAUAAGUCGUAACAUAGUAGGGGUAACGGAAGUUGUUCCU